GUGCUCGCUUCGGCAGCACAUAUAAUAAAAUUGGAAUGAUACAGAGAAGAUUAGCAUGACCCCUGCACAAGGAUGACAUGCAAAUUCGUGAAGCAUUCUAUAUAUAA
Molecule: small nuclear RNA, 107 nt
Filed under: Aotus nancymaae (Ma's night monkey)
Lineage: Eukaryota; Metazoa; Chordata; Mammalia; Primates; Aotidae
Source: RNAcentral